GCAGUGAUGACUUUUAUUGGUCUUGAGCAGCGAUGAAAAUACACCACCAAUUCCUCUAAGAAGUUCUGAGCUC
Molecule: small nucleolar RNA, 73 nt
Organism: Larimichthys crocea (large yellow croaker)
Lineage: Eukaryota; Metazoa; Chordata; Actinopteri; Sciaenidae
Source: Ensembl